RNAcentral lists this ribosomal RNA (482 nucleotides) under uncultured bacterium. RNAcentral describes it as "bacterial SSU rRNA". It matches the Rfam family "Bacterial small subunit ribosomal RNA", at positions 200 to 702 of the family's 1533-position model. The record is from RNAcentral.
GGGAAAGAUUUAUCGCUGAAGGAGCGGCCCGCGUCUGAUUAGCUAGUUGGUGAGGUAAUGGCUCACCAAGGCGACGAUCAGUAGCUGGUCUGAGAGGAUGAUCAGCCACACUGGGACUGAGACACGGCCCAGACUCCUACGGGAGGCAGCAGUGGGGAAUAUUGGACAAUGGGGGCAACCCUGAUCCAGCCAUGCCGCGUGAGUGAUGAAGGCCUUAGGGUUGUAAAACUCUUUUGUCCGGGAAGAUAAUGACUGUACCGGAAGAAUAAGCCCCGGCUAACUUCGUGCCAGCAGCCGCGGUAAUACGAAGGGGGCUAGCGUUGUUCGGAAUCACUGGGCGUAAAGCGCACGUAGGCGGAUUGUUAAGUCAGAGGUGAAAUCCCGGAGCUCAACUUCGGAACUGCCUUUGAUACUGGCAAUCUUGAGUCUGGAAGAGGUUAGUGGAACUGCGAGUGUAGAGGUGAAAUUCGUAGAUAUUCGCA